UCGUUUUAAGUAUGGCAAUAUUACUUUAAGCUAUAGUUAGUAAUGUAAAAAUCCUAAAAUCUAAAAUUGUACUUACUAUUAAACAAAUCUUAAUUAAAUAUUAAGCUGAAUACUACCAAACACUUGUUAAAGAUUUAUUUUUUCUAAAUUUUAAACUAAAAAUUUACCUCAACUUCAAAAACUUUUUCAUAAAAAUAAAAGCAAAAAGAAUAAUCAAUAAAAUUAGUCUUAAUUUAUCUUUCUAUUCAAAAGAGACUAAUCCAAGCCAUACUGGAAAGUACGAGCUUCUUGUUACGACUUCA
This 302-nucleotide unclassified non-coding RNA is filed under the name Borreliella bissettiae. Its description in RNAcentral is "Borreliella bissettii partial 16S-23S ribosomal RNA intergenic spacer". The record is from RNAcentral. Lineage: Bacteria; Pseudomonadati; Spirochaetota; Spirochaetia; Spirochaetales; Borreliaceae.